GCUUAGCCCCGAUUGCAACGGCAUCCUUUUUCUUUUUCCUUUAAAAAGAAAAAGAUAGAGUGGAAAGCGGGAAAUAGC
Molecule: small RNA, 78 nt
Filed under: Flavobacterium limicola
Lineage: Bacteria; Pseudomonadati; Bacteroidota; Flavobacteriia; Flavobacteriales; Flavobacteriaceae
Description: Flavo-1 RNA
Rfam family: Flavo-1 RNA
Source: RNAcentral